CCUACGGGUGGCAGCAGUGGGGAAUAUUGCGCAAUGGGCGAAAGCCUGACGCAGCGACGCCGCGUGAGGGAUGAAGGCCUUCGGAUCGUAAAGCUCUGUCAGCAGGGAAGAACGGGCACUGUGCUAAUCAGCAGUGAAUUGACGGUACCUGCAAAGGCAGCACCGGCUAACUCCGUGCCAGCAGCCGCGGUAAUACGGAGGGUGCGAGCGUUAAUCGGAAUGACUGGGCGUAAAGCGCUCGUAGGCGGUAUGUCAAGUCAAGGGUGAAAUCCCCGCGCUCAACGUGGGAACUGCCGUUGAAACUGGCAUACUGGAGUGUGUGAGAGGAUAGUGGAAUUCCAGGUGUAGCGGUGAAAUGCGUAGAUAUCAGGAGGAACACCGGUGGCGAAGGCGACUAUCUGGCACAUAACUGACGCUGAGGAGCGAAAGCGUGGGUAGCAAACAGGAUUAGAUACCCGGGUAGUC
Molecule: ribosomal RNA, 465 nt
Filed under: uncultured bacterium
Lineage: Bacteria
Description: partial 16S ribosomal RNA
Rfam family: Bacterial small subunit ribosomal RNA
Source: RNAcentral